This 478-nucleotide ribosomal RNA is filed under the name uncultured bacterium. Its description in RNAcentral is "partial 16S ribosomal RNA". It matches the Rfam family "Bacterial small subunit ribosomal RNA", at positions 28 to 523 of the family's 1533-position model. The record is from RNAcentral.
GACGAACGCUGGCGGCGUGCUUAACACAUGCAAGUCGAACGGUAAGGCCCUUCGGGGUACACGAGUGGCGAACGGGUGAGUAACACGUGGGUGAUCUGCCCUGCACUUCGGGAUAAGCCUGGGAAACUGGGUCUAAUACCGGAUAGGACCACUGCCUGCAUGGGUGGUGGUGGAAAGCUUUUGCGGUGUGGGAUGGGCCCGCGGCCUAUCAGCUUGUUGGUGGGGUGAUGGCCUACCAAGGCGACGACGGGUAGCCGGCCUGAGAGGGUGACCGGCCACAGUGGACAUGCGGUACGGCCCAGACUCCUAGGGGUGGCAGCAGGGGGGAAUAUUGCACGAUGGGCGCAAGCCUGAUGCAGCGACGCCGCGUGAGGGAUGCCGGCCUUCGGGUUGUAAACCUCUUUCAGCACCGACGAAGCGCAAGUGACGGUAGGUGCAGAAGAAGGACCGGCCAACUACGUGCCAGCCGCCGCAGUAA